AUAAAAGGCGUGUCCCUGGUCACAAUGUUCAGAUUAAAUCGUUUCCGUUGAACAUGAAGUACAUAUUAUUCCUCGCUGUAUCAGCAGUUGCUGUCGCCUUGGUGUGGAGCGAAUCAUGACACUUACACAACUCUGCACUGCAUCAACCAAGGGUGCACGUGCACCUACACGCAUGCAUCAUGUAUUCAGGUGGAGGAAAAGAACAUUCAUCUAAUACUUACCACCGCUUUUUGUAAACUAUGAAGAAGAACCAUACAUUGUGAUUGAUUUGUGUUUCCCGAAACCACCGGGUUUUAAAGAAAUAUAACAGGAUUCGAGUAGGUUAAAUGUGGAAAAUGUCUGACAAAUAUGGCAUCAUGAUAUAUGCGAGUGGGAUAGCUACUGUUUGGUGAUCAAAUUUAAUUCUUAGUUUUGUUUCUACUAAGAUGGGUUUUUGUUUUGAUAAUAAGAGCUCACCUGGAAAGAUAUUCACAAUUUUAUACUAUCAGCAAAGACAGAAACUUAAAACAAGUUGCUGUCAGCAUCGACAUUCAAAUAUUUUGAAUUAUUUUCUGCAUUAAUAGCCAGGAAAUAAAAUCGUCAACGCAGGAGAAUAAUCACUCUCGAUUAUCCCACUAAACAGAUACCACUGGGUGUAAAAAGCAAACUAGUGGAAUAUU
Molecule: long non-coding RNA, 659 nt
Organism: Haliotis rufescens (red abalone)
Lineage: Eukaryota; Metazoa; Mollusca; Gastropoda; Lepetellida; Haliotidae
Exons: 3
Source: RefSeq, a predicted model, not a curated record